GGACUACCGGGGUUUCUAAUCCUGUUUGCUCCCCACGCUUUCGUGCCUCAGCGUCAGAUGUGGACCAAGAAGCUGCCUUCGCCAUCGGUGUUCCUCUCGAGAUCUACGCAUUUUACCGCUACUCCGAGAAUUCCACUUCUCUCUUCCACUCUCAAGAAUGCCAGUAUCUACUGCUGACUCUCGGUUAGGCCGAGAAAUUUAACAGUUGACUUAGCAAACCGCCUACACACCCUUUACGCCCAAUAAAUCCGAAUAACGCUCGCACCCUUCGUAUUACCGCGGCUGCUGGCAC
RNAcentral lists this ribosomal RNA (292 nucleotides) under uncultured bacterium. Its description in RNAcentral is "partial 16S ribosomal RNA". The record is from RNAcentral.